RNAcentral lists this ribosomal RNA (454 nucleotides) under uncultured bacterium. Its description in RNAcentral is "bacterial SSU rRNA". It matches the Rfam family "Bacterial small subunit ribosomal RNA", at positions 340 to 786 of the family's 1533-position model. The record is from RNAcentral.
UACGGAAGGCAGCAGUGGGGAAUAUUGCACAAUGGGCGAAAGCCUGAUGCAGCUAUGCCGCGUGUAUGAAGAAGGCCUUAGGGUUGUAAAGUACUUUCAUCGGGGAGGAAAAAACAAAACUAAUAAUUUUAUUUCUUGACGUUACCCGAAAAAGAAGCACCGGCUAACUCCGUGCCAGCAGCCGCGGUAAUACGGAGGGUGCUAGCGUUAAUCAGAAUUACUGGGCGUAAAGAGCACGUAGGUGGUUUUUUUAAGUCAGAUGUGAAAUCCCUGGGCUUAACCUGGAACUGCAUUUUGAAACUGAAAUACUAGAGUAUCGUAGAGGGAGGUAGAAUUCUAGGUGUAGCGGUGAAAUGCGUAGAUAUCUGGAGGAAUACCUGUGGCGAAACGGCCUCCUAAACGAAUACUGACACUGAGGUGCGAAAGCGUGGGGAGCAAACAGGGAUUAGAUACC